AUUGAACGCUGGCGGCAGGCCUAACACAUGCAAGUCGAACGGUAGCACAGAGAGCUUGCUCUCGGGUGACGAGUGGCGGACGGGUGAGUAAUGUCUGGGAAACUGCCCGAUGGAGGGGGAUAACUACUGGAAACGGUAGCUAAUACCGCAUAACGUCGCAAGACCAAAGUGGGGGACCUUCGGGCCUCACACCAUCGGAUGGGCCCAGAUGGGAUUAGCUAGUAGGUGGGGUAAUGGCUCACCCAGGCGGCGAUCCCUAGCUGGUCUGAGAGGAUGACCAGCCACACUGGAACUGAGACACGGUCCAGACUCCUACGGGAGGCAGCAGUGGGGAAUAUUGCACAAUGGGCGCAAGCCUGAUGCAGCCAUGCCGCGUGUAUGAAGAAGGCCUUCGGGUUGUAAAGUACUUUCAGCGGGGAGGAAGGCGGUGAAGUUAAUAACUUCACCGAUUGACGUUACCCGCAGAAGAAGCACCGGCUAACUCCGUGCCAGCAGCCGCCGUAA
This 504-nucleotide ribosomal RNA is filed under the name uncultured bacterium. RNAcentral's name for it is "partial 16S ribosomal RNA". It matches the Rfam family "Bacterial small subunit ribosomal RNA", at positions 29 to 523 of the family's 1533-position model. The record is from RNAcentral.